AAGGAUCAUUAACGAGUUCAUGCCCUUCGGGGUAGACCUCCCACCCUCUGUUUACAAUACCUUUGUUGCUUUGGCGGCCCCGUCGCAGGACAACCGGCCCCGGCUGGUCAGCGGCCGCCAGAGGACUCCAAACUCAUAUUAUCUUUGUCGUCUGAGUACUAUAUAAUAGUUAAAACUUUCAACAACGGAUCUCUUGGUUCUG
Molecule: unclassified non-coding RNA, 202 nt
Filed under: uncultured fungus
Lineage: Eukaryota; Fungi
Description: partial contains 18S rRNA, ITS1, 5.8S rRNA, ITS2 and 28S rRNA
Source: RNAcentral